Molecule: ribosomal RNA, 391 nt
Filed under: uncultured bacterium
Lineage: Bacteria
Description: bacterial SSU rRNA
Rfam family: Bacterial small subunit ribosomal RNA
Source: RNAcentral
AUUGAACGCUGGCGGCAUGCUUUACACAUGCAAGUCGAACGGCAGCGCGGGCUUCGGCCUGGCGGCGAGUGGCGAACGGGUGAGUAAUAUAUCGGAACGUACCCAAGAGUGGGGGAUAACGUAGCGAAAGUUACGCUAAUACCGCAUACGAUCUAAGGAUGAAAGCAGGGGAUCGCAAGACCUUGUGCUCCUGGAGCGGCCGAUAUCUGAUUAGCUAGUUGGUGGGGUAAAGGCCCACCAAGGCAACGAUCAGUAGCUGGUCUGAGAGGACGACCAGCCACACUGGAACUGAGACACGGUCCAGACUCCUACGGGAGGCAGCAGUGGGGAAUUUUGGACAAUGGGCGCAAGCCUGAUCCAGCAAUGCCGCGUGAGUGAAGAAGGCCUUCGG